UCAGGUGGCCGCAGAGAAUAGGCCCAAGCGACUGUUUACCAAAAACAUAGGUUUCUGCUAAGUCGCAAGACGAUGUAUAGGAGCUGACGCCUGCCCGGUGCUGGAAGGUUAAGGGGAUCUGUUAGAGCAAUCGAAGCAGUGAACUUAAGCCCCAGUAAACGGCGGCCGUAACUAUAACGGUCCUAAGGUAGCGAAAUUCCUUGUCGGGUAAGUUCCGACCCGCACGAAAGGCGUAACGAUUUGGGCACUGUCUCAACAACAGACUCGGUGAAAUUGUAAUUCCGGUGAAGAUGCCGGAUACCUGCGACAGGACGGAAAGACCCCAUGGAGCUUUACUGUAGCUUGACAUUGGGUCUUGGUACUACAUGUACAGGAUAGGUGGGAGGCUUUGAAACCAGGACGACAGUUUUGGCGGAGCCAUCCUUGGGAUACCACCCUUGUAGUACUGGGACUCUAACCAUAGGCCAUGAAUCUGGUCUUGGGACACUGUCAGGUGGGCAGUUUGACUGGGGCGGUCGCCUCCCAAAAGGUAACGGAGGCGCUCAAAGGUUCUCUCAGUACGGUCGGAAAUCGUACGUAGAGUGUAAAGGCAAAAGAGAGCUUGAUUGCAAGACAUACAGGUCGAGCAAGGAUGAAAAUCGGACUUAGUGAUCCGGUGGUUCUGCGUGGAAGGGCCAUCGCUCAACGGAUAAAAGCUACCCUGGGGAUAACAGGCUUAUCUCCCCCAAGAGUCCACAUCGACGGGGAGGUUUGGCACCUCGAUGUCGGCUCAUCACAUCCUGGGGCUGUAGUAGGUCCCAAGGGUUGGGCUGUUCGCCCAUUAAAGUGGUACGCGAGCUGGGUUCAGAACGUCGUGAGACAGUUCGGUCCCUAUCCGUCGCAGGCGUAGGAAAUUUGAGAAGACCUGUCCUUAGUACGAGAGGACCGGGAUGGACGUACCUCUGGUGUACCAGUUGUCCUGCCAAGGGCAUGGCUGGGUAGCUGUGUACGGAAUGGAUAAGCGCUGAAAGCAUCUAAGCGCGAAG
RNAcentral lists this ribosomal RNA (1025 nucleotides) under Clostridioides difficile. RNAcentral's name for it is "bacterial LSU rRNA". It matches the Rfam family "Bacterial large subunit ribosomal RNA", at positions 1769 to 2792 of the family's 2925-position model. Lineage: Bacteria; Bacillati; Bacillota; Clostridia; Peptostreptococcales; Peptostreptococcaceae. The record is from RNAcentral.